UUAAAUUGAAGAGUUUGAUCAUGGCUCAGAUUGAACGCUGGCGGCAGGCCUAACACAUGCAAGUCGAGCGGAAACGAGUUAUCUGAACCUUCGGGGRACGAUAACGGCGUCGAGCGGCGGACGGGUGAGUAAUGCCUAGGAAAUUGCCCUGAUGUGGGGGAUAACCAU
Molecule: ribosomal RNA, 168 nt
Filed under: Vibrio parahaemolyticus
Lineage: Bacteria; Pseudomonadati; Pseudomonadota; Gammaproteobacteria; Vibrionales; Vibrionaceae
Description: partial 16S ribosomal RNA
Source: RNAcentral